GUACACGCUGUGACUAGCAUAUCAAUAAGCGGAGGAAAAGAAACUAACAAGGAUUCCCCUAGUAACGGCGAGUGAAGCGGGAAGAGCUCAAAUUUGAAAUCUUAAAGGGUUUCCCUUUACGAAUUGUAGUUUAAAGAAGUGUUUUCUGUUGAGGUUUUGGUAAAAGUUCUUUGGAAUAGGACAUCAUAGAGGGUGAGAAUCCCGUAUUUGACCUUUACUUUCAACUUUGUGAUACACUUUCAAAGAGUCGGAUUGUUUGGGAAUGCAGUCCAAAAUGGGUGGUAAAUUUCAUCUAAAGUUAAAUAUUGGCGAGAGACCGAUAGCGAACAAGUACCGUGAGGGAAAGAUGAAAAGAACUUUGAAAAGAGAGUUAAACAGUACGUGAAAUUGUCAAAAGGGAAGCGUUUGACACCAGUGUUGUUUUCUGAAAAUCAAUUAAAGAACUGUUUAUGCUAAGUUGUUUAGACUUUAUCAGCUAACUGUUUAGUUUUGAGCUUUUCUUUAAUGCACUUUUCAGUUAACAAGUCAACAUCAAUUUCUUUUGCUGUAAAAAAGCUUGAGGAAGGUGGCUUGAGAUUCGUCUUAAGUGUUUAUAGCCUCUUGCCUAUGCAGUCGGAGAGAUUGAGGUCUGCAGCGUAGAUCCUUCGGGGCUAAAUGCAUUUGUGCUAAGUUAUAGCAUUUUAUAGACAACUUGUUGACUAUGAUUUGUCUUGUAGCUUACUCGCUUAUGUUAUUUUACCUACGCUUAGGAUGUUGAGUCGUAGAGCACGCAG
RNAcentral lists this ribosomal RNA (773 nucleotides) under uncultured Neocallimastigales. RNAcentral's name for it is "partial large subunit ribosomal RNA". It matches the Rfam family "Eukaryotic large subunit ribosomal RNA", at positions 22 to 628 of the family's 3401-position model. Lineage: Eukaryota; Fungi; Neocallimastigomycota; Neocallimastigomycetes; Neocallimastigales. The record is from RNAcentral.